Long non-coding RNA from Pristis pectinata (smalltooth sawfish), 1126 nucleotides. RefSeq lists it as uncharacterized. NCBI's taxonomy places the organism in Eukaryota, Metazoa, Chordata, Chondrichthyes, Rhinopristiformes, Pristidae. The transcript has 2 exons. The record is from RefSeq and is a predicted model, not a curated record.
GUCAGAUGAUCUUCAUAAGAGGUUAAACACUCACUGAGCACAUAUGUCACACACUGGCAACCAAGGUAGUGAAGAAUCACAAUCAUUGAAGUAAUGAGGACCCCAAGGAUAAUAUGACUGCUUUAGUAGGCACAGCAGUGAUGUAACCAGGACUGAAGAAAGGAGCCUUGAUACGAGAACAGUCAUUCUAUUAGUGAGUGCCUGCUUCAAAGGUUAUCCUUGAUGAAUAUGAUACAAUUAGUGGUCAAUGACCAACUCCAUUUCGAUGGAUUUAAUCCAUUUCUAUUUAGGUAGACAGUUGUAGAGUGGCAUUUGAGGUUGAACCCUUGUACUUUGGAAAACUACAUGGAUUGUGUUGCUACUUUUCAGUGAGGCAGCAAUGAACAUGAUGAACCUGCAGAAUAAAGUUUCAAUCACUGUAUGAACUAUCCAUGGACAUCAAUUUGGCUAGACUGCAGUUCUCCCUGUGUUAGUCAGUAGGGAGCAUAAAUAGUGAAAAUUGUUUCUUACACAGGUUUUUUGCCACUGUGGUGGACAUUGCUCUAGAUCCUGUUUGAAUCAGAUGGUACAGCCUAAAUUCUGCUUCCUUGCUGAACUUGACCCCCUGCAAAUGCAUCAGUUCUCCUUCAUUGCUAUUUGGCUAUUCCUGGGGCUAGAGAUAAGGCAGGUAGCGUAGGGCCUCUCUGGGUUAUGAAAGGCCUGACUUAUGGAAAUCUGACUUUAUGCAAAUUCUCCAAUAGAUUUUUAAAUAAUUUUUCAAGAUAGGGAAGUUAACCAUAGAAAUGCAAGCCUCUUCAGGAGUUAUGGAAUAAGGGUAGCAGCUAGUUAAUUCAAAUGACAACCAGUCUUCGAAGACUGUUUACAUGUAAUCUCCCUUCAAUAAUCAAACAGAAACCCAUGUCUGCUAAGACCAGGGCUGCCAGUUCACAGCAGGAGGUCACUUUAGAGAUUUGCUUUGGAAAUUGACAAGGCAAUCACUUCUAUUGACACUUGUAAAAUACUUCAUGAAACAAUGUAACGUCCAUUGAUGCAUUAAGGCCAUCGAAGCUAGCUAUUGGAUAUGGGACAUUCUGAUUCUGUACCAUUGUAACUACACAGAAGACAAAUAAAUAUUCAUGUUAAUUGA